GGGCGUAAGAGCUCGUAGGCGGUUUGUCGCGUCGGCCGUGAAAACUUGGGGCUUAACUCCAAGCUUGCGGUCGAUACGGGCAGACUUGAGUUCGGCAGGGGAGACUGGAAUUCCUGGUGUAGCGGUGAAAUGCGCAGAUAUCAGGAGGAACACCGGUGGCGAAGGCGGGUCUCUGGGCCGACACUGACGCUGAGGAGCGAAAGCGUGGGGAGCGAACAGGAUUAGAUACCCUGGUAGUCCACGCCGUAAACGGUGGGUGCUAGGUGUGGGGGGCUUCCACGCCCUCUGUGCCGCAGCUAACGCAUUAAGCACCCCGCCUGGGGAGUACGGCCGCAAGGCUAAAACUCAAAGGAAUUGACGGGGGCCCGCACAAGCGGCGGAGCAUGUGGAUUAAUUCGAUGCUACGCAAAGAACCUUACCUGGGCUUGACAUGCACUGGAAACCAAUAAAGAUAUUGGCCCCCUUGUGGCCGGAG
This 475-nucleotide ribosomal RNA is filed under the name Lentzea aerocolonigenes. RNAcentral's name for it is "bacterial SSU rRNA". It matches the Rfam family "Bacterial small subunit ribosomal RNA", at positions 556 to 1032 of the family's 1533-position model. Lineage: Bacteria; Bacillati; Actinomycetota; Actinomycetes; Pseudonocardiales; Pseudonocardiaceae. The record is from RNAcentral.